GGUGAGGGGAAUGUCGUCUGGCUCAAGAAAUUUGUCAAACUGGCCAUGUCGAUCCCUCAGGAGAUUUCUCUCGGACCAGGCUUCAUUCCCCUCCC
This 95-nucleotide microRNA precursor is filed under the name Eucalyptus grandis. Its description in RNAcentral is "mir-166 microRNA precursor family". It matches the Rfam family "mir-166 microRNA precursor family". From Rfam's summary of the family: This family represents the plant microRNA (miRNA) precursor mir-166. Animal miRNAs are transcribed as ~70nt precursors and subsequently processed by the Dicer enzyme to give a ~22nt product. In plants the precursor sequences may be longer, and the carpel factory (caf) enzyme appears to be involved in processing. The record is from Rfam by way of RNAcentral. Lineage: Eukaryota; Viridiplantae; Streptophyta; Magnoliopsida; Myrtales; Myrtaceae.